This 76-nucleotide transfer RNA is filed under the name Puniceicoccales bacterium. Its description in RNAcentral is "tRNA-Arg". It matches the Rfam family "tRNA". From Rfam's summary of the family: Transfer RNA (tRNA) molecules are approximately 80 nucleotides in length. Their secondary structure includes four short double-helical elements and three loops (D, anti-codon, and T loops). The record is from RNAcentral. Lineage: Bacteria; Pseudomonadati; Verrucomicrobiota; Opitutia; Puniceicoccales. RNAcentral also lists the same sequence under 2 other names.
GGGGGCAUAGCUCAGCGGAUAGAGCAGUGGUUUUCUAAACCAUUGGUCGGGGGUUCGAGUCCCUCUGCCCCUGCCA